GUAGGGAAUAUUGGGCAAUGGAUGCAAGUCUGACCCAGCCAUCCCGCGUGCCGGAAGAAGGCCCUCAGGGUUGUAAACGGCUUUUGACGGUGAAGAAUCGACAGGAUGCGUCCUGUUUUGACGGUAGCCGUUGAAUAAGCACCGGCUAACUCCGUGCCAGCAGCCGCGGUAAUACGGAGGGUGCGAGCGUUGUCCGGAUGUAUUGGGUUUAAAGGGUGCGUAGGCUGGAAGGUCAGUCAGCGGUGAAAAGCUGUCGCUUAACGAUAGUCUUGCCGCAGAUACUUCCUUUCUUGGAUGAGGAGGAGGCCACUGGAACGGAUGGUGUAGCGGUGAAAUGCAUAGAUAUCAUCCAGAACACCGAUUGCGAAGGCAGGUGGCUGUACCUUAAUCGACGCUGAUGCACGAAAGCAUGGGGAGCAAACAGGAUUAGAAACCCGGGUAGUCC
This 445-nucleotide ribosomal RNA is filed under the name uncultured bacterium. RNAcentral describes it as "partial 16S ribosomal RNA". It matches the Rfam family "Bacterial small subunit ribosomal RNA", at positions 354 to 796 of the family's 1533-position model. The record is from RNAcentral.